GGCCUACUGUGAAAAAGCAAAUGUGUGCCAUGAAAUGACUGCACGACUGGCCCCAGUAUCAACCGUUGAGGUUAUUGUUGAUAAGAUCACUAAAGAAAAGUCCUGUCACUAUGAUAGAGUGCCUGUAUACAGUAAAAGAGGAUCAACUGCUGUGCCGUCAGUGGGAAAGCGUGGCUGACAUCAUUGCUAUUGGCAGCUCGGCAGGAUAUAUUGGUACUCCGGUUUCCUCUCACAGGCCAAAAAAACAUGCAAGGCAAUUUGGAGAUGCCAAAUGGUCCCUUCCCCAACCUGUGUCUGGAUUAAUUUG
Molecule: non-coding RNA, 307 nt
Organism: Misgurnus anguillicaudatus (oriental weatherfish)
Lineage: Eukaryota; Metazoa; Chordata; Actinopteri; Cypriniformes; Cobitidae
Source: RefSeq, a predicted model, not a curated record